GCGAAAAAUGGCGAAUCCUGCCAGAGACGGCUAUCAGGAAUUUGAUAAUGAGCCGGAGGCCCCCGGAGAUACAGAGGUACAGACACCACGAAGAAAUACAGUUUCCGAGGACACAUCGUUAUUUCAAGAUCGUCUUCCGACAGAAAAUUCGUUGACUCCGGAGCAG
RNAcentral lists this small RNA (166 nucleotides) under Caenorhabditis elegans. RNAcentral's name for it is "Unclassified non-coding RNA Y43F4B.15". Lineage: Eukaryota; Metazoa; Nematoda; Chromadorea; Rhabditida; Rhabditidae. The record is from RNAcentral.